CCUACGGGAGGCAGCAGUGGGGAAUAUUGCACAAUGGGGGAAACCCUGAUGCAGCGACGCCGCGUGAGUGAAGAAGUAUUUCGGUAUGUAAACUUCUAUCAGCAGGGAAGAAAAUGACGGUCCCUGGAUAAGCCACCCCGGCUAACUCCGUUCCCGCAGCCGCGGUAAUACCUAGGGGGCAAGCGUUAUCCGGGUUUACUGGGGGGAAAGGGAGCGUAGGCGGUUUAGCAAGUCAGAAGUGAAAGCCCGGGGCUCAACUCCGGGACUGCUUUUGAAACUGUUGAACUAGAUUGCAGGAGAGGUAAGUGGAAUUCCUAGUGUAGCGGUGAAAUGCGUAGAUAUUAGGAGGAACACCAGUGGCGAAGGCGGCUUACUGGACUGUAAAUGACGCUGAGGCACGAAGGCCAGGGGAGCGAAAGGGAUUAGAUACCCGAGUAGUC
Molecule: ribosomal RNA, 440 nt
Filed under: uncultured bacterium
Lineage: Bacteria
Description: partial 16S ribosomal RNA
Rfam family: Bacterial small subunit ribosomal RNA
Source: RNAcentral